Molecule: ribosomal RNA, 485 nt
Filed under: uncultured eukaryote
Lineage: Eukaryota
Description: eukaryotic LSU rRNA
Rfam family: Eukaryotic large subunit ribosomal RNA
Source: RNAcentral
ACAGAUUAUACAGUUUUUAUCAGGUAAAGCUAAUGAUUAGUGGACUCGGGGGGUCUGAGACUCUCGACCAAUUCUCAAACUUUAAAUUGGUAAGAACCUUUAGUUAUCUUAAUUGAACUGAAGGGAUGAAUGUAUUGUUCUUAGUGGGCCAUUUUUGGUAAGCAGAACUGGCGAUGAGGGAUGAACCUAACGUUGAGAUAAGGUGCCCAAAUUCACGCUCAUGAGACACCAUAAAAAGGUGUUGGUUAGUUUAAAACAGCCGGACUGUGGCCAUGGAAGUCGGCAGCAGCUAAGGAGUGUGUAACAACUCACCAGCCGAAUUAACCAGCCCUGAAAAUUGAUGGCGCUAAGCGUGAUACCGAUACUCAACCAUUAAGGCAAAUAGAAGCUUUAAUGAGUAAGAGGGCGUGAAUACUGUGCAGAAGGCUUGGAUGUGAAUCUGGCUGGAACAGUAUUAGUGCAGAUCUUGGUGGUAGUAGCAAAUA